Long non-coding RNA from Temnothorax curvispinosus, 779 nucleotides. RefSeq lists it as uncharacterized. NCBI's taxonomy places the organism in Eukaryota, Metazoa, Arthropoda, Insecta, Hymenoptera, Formicidae. The transcript has 3 exons. The record is from RefSeq and is a predicted model, not a curated record.
ACUGGACAGGAAGAAGCAAGCAGUGAGAGGCGAGAUAUACAAACGUAUCUUCAUAUUCUUGCGAGAUACUAUUUUGGAGGCACUUUUGUUAACAAGGCCUUCUUGCACUUUGUGCAUCAUCGCUGAGGAUUUAUGUAAUGAUGCACGCUCGUCGCCUGUUAACUUCUGCUGAACGAUGUGUGUAACGCCAUCUUCACCCAGUGUGCAAGGGACCAUCAGGCCCCCGAGGCACGCCGGCCGACUCUUCGAAAACGCAACGGGCGACAGCGGAUCGCGAGGAACCCGGUAUAGGAGUAGAGCGUGCACCUGUAGCCUGACAAGGGAAUCCGUGGAAUUCCUCGAUCGAGCAGCCGAUGCGUGUACACCGAAACGAUGGAUGCAAAGCGAGACUCUUUUAUGCGGCGUAAUGACACCGCCGAGGACCGUCGUUUGUUCGAUUCAUUUAUAGUGCGGCUGACAUCCCGAGAUAAACGUUUAAGCACGUGUUCAGAUCCACGAAUUAACCAAGAUCACAAGAUCCGUUACCUUUUCUUUAACCCUUUUUAUGGGUAAAGGAAUAAAAAAUGAAUUAUACUCAUGCUGUACAUCGAAUAUAACAACUUUUGCCUCGGCAAUAAGAGAAUAACAUUAAUGAUUUAUUAGUGUAUUAAAGAAAUAUUUUUCAAUUCGACUAUUCUUCACUUAUAUGCCGGUGAUUGUAAUCAAACAUCAUCAUUGAUGAAAUAACUCGUGGUACACAAUUCAUCAUAUCUAUUUAUUAGAGAAAUACUUGAAAUUCC